RNAcentral lists this ribosomal RNA (404 nucleotides) under uncultured Treponema sp. RNAcentral describes it as "bacterial SSU rRNA". It matches the Rfam family "Bacterial small subunit ribosomal RNA", at positions 338 to 739 of the family's 1533-position model. The record is from RNAcentral. Lineage: Bacteria; Pseudomonadati; Spirochaetota; Spirochaetia; Treponematales; Treponemataceae.
CCUACGGGAGGCAGCAGUGAGGAAUAUUGGUCAAUGGGCGGAAGCCUGAACCAGCCAUGCCGCGUGAAGGAAUAAGGUCCUAUGGAUCGUAAACUUCUUUUGAGCGGGAGCAAUAAGGUCUACGAGUAGACCGAUGAGAGUACCGUUCGAAUAAGCAUCGGCUAACUCCGUGCCAGCAGCCGCGGUAAUACGGAGGAUGCAAGCGUUAUCCGGAUUUAUUGGGUUUAAAGGGUGCGUAGGCCGUUGUGCAAGUCAGAGGUGAAAUCGCGGGGCUCAACCCCGUGUCUGCCUUUGAUACUGUAUGACUUGAAUGUUGUUGCCGUGGGAGGAAUGAGUAGUGUAGCGGUGAAAUGCAUAGAUAUUACUCAGAACACCGAUUGCGAAGGCAUCUCACGAAACAAUUA